AGGGGACCGAGGCUAUGGGGGGAACCGGUUCGAGUCCAGGAGUGGGGGCUACGGAGGCUCCAGAGACUACUAUAGCAGCCGGAGUCAGAGUGGUGGCUACAGUGACCGGAGCUCGGGCGGGUCCUACAGAGACAGUUAUGACAGUUACGGUUGAAGGGGCCCGGCCAGGACUCGGGGAAGGGUGGCCUGAGAGCAGCGAUGACCUCUGGGGUCACUGUCCCAGGAGGGACUUCACCUGGAACGAGAGCUGGAGGCAGCCGCUUGCCCAGGAGGCUUGUCCCCUGUAAGUGCUUUCGGGAAGAGUGGCAUGUGGCGCUGAGCCCUGUCCCGGGCGACACCUGGGCGUUUCAGUGAGUCCUGCUCUCCCGCACCUAUGGCCCCGCGGCGGGCGCCUUUCGGUGUGUGUUGGGUGCAGGGCAGCGCCUCCCGGGAGCGCCGGGUCCCCCGCCUGGAGCCCGCGCCUGUUCUCCCUCCCUCCUCCUCCUUCCAGGAGGCGCUUCGCCAGUGAGGUGCGGGCUCAGGGCCUCGAGUCUCUCCUGGAGCACGGGCUGCGGUGCGCUGGCAGCUUACGGGGCGGCCAGUCCUUGCCCACAACGAUGUGGAGCCCUGUGAAAGUCGGAUUCGAAUAAAGGGCCACGUGUG
Molecule: long non-coding RNA, 642 nt
Filed under: Pan troglodytes (chimpanzee)
Lineage: Eukaryota; Metazoa; Chordata; Mammalia; Primates; Hominidae
Description: long non-coding RNA NONPTRT007890
Source: RNAcentral